CCAGACUCCUACGGGAGGCAGCAGUGGGGAAUAUUGGACAAUGGACCAAGAGUCUGAUCCAGCAAUUCUGUGUGCACGAUGAAGUUUUUCGGAAUGUAAAGUGCUUUCAGUUGGGAAGAAAGAAAUGACGGUACCAACAGAAGAAGUGACGGCUAAAUACGUGCCAGCAGCCGCGGUAAUACGUAUGUCACGAGCGUUAUCCGGAUUUAUUGGGCGUAAAGCGCGUCUAGGUGGUUAUAUAAGUCUGAUGUGAAAAUGCAGGGCUCAACUCUGUAUUGCGUUGGAAACUGUAUAACUAGAGUACUGGAGAGGUAAGCGGAACUACAAGUGUAGAGGUGAAAUUCGUAGAUAUUUGUAGGAAUGCCGAUGGGGAAGCCAGCUUACUGGACAGAUACUGACGCUGAAGCGCGAAAGCGUGGGUAGCAAACAGGAUUAGAUACCCUGGUAGUCCACGCCGUAAACGAUGAUUACUAGGUGUUGGGGGUCGAACCUCAGCGCCCAAGCAAACGCGAUAAGUAAUCCGCCUGGGGAGUACGUACGCAAGGUUAAAACUCAAAUGAAUUGACGGGGGCCCGCACAAG
Molecule: ribosomal RNA, 581 nt
Filed under: uncultured bacterium
Lineage: Bacteria
Description: bacterial SSU rRNA
Rfam family: Bacterial small subunit ribosomal RNA
Source: RNAcentral